UACGAAGGGGGCGAGCGUUGUUCGGAAUUACUGGGCGUAAAGGGCGCGUAGGCGGCCACCGCAAGUCGACUGUGAAAUCUCCGGGCUUAACCCGGAAAGGUCAGCCGAUACUGCGGGGCUAGAGUGCAGAAGGGGCAACUGGAAUUCUCGGUGUAGCGGUGAAAUGCGUAGAUAUCGAGAGGAACACCUGCGGCGAAGGCGGGUUGCUGGGCUGACACUGACGCUGAGGCGCGAAAGCUAGGGGAGCAAACGGG
This 254-nucleotide ribosomal RNA is filed under the name uncultured bacterium. RNAcentral's name for it is "partial 16S ribosomal RNA". It matches the Rfam family "Bacterial small subunit ribosomal RNA", at positions 524 to 776 of the family's 1533-position model. The record is from RNAcentral.